RNAcentral lists this ribosomal RNA (663 nucleotides) under bacterium SCSIO13117. Its description in RNAcentral is "bacterial SSU rRNA". It matches the Rfam family "Bacterial small subunit ribosomal RNA", at positions 56 to 700 of the family's 1533-position model. The record is from RNAcentral.
UGCAGUCGAGCGGAACGAGUUAUCUGAACCUUCGGGGGACGAUAACGGCGUCGAGCGGCGGACGGGUGAGUAAUGCCUAGGAAAUUGCCCUGAUGUGGGGGAUAACCAUUGGAAACGAUGGCUAAUACCGCAUAAUGCCUACGGGCCAAAGAGGGGGACCUUCGGGCCUCUCGCGUCAGGAUAUGCCUAGGUGGGAUUAGCUAGUUGGUGAGGUAAUGGCUCACCAAGGCGACGAUCCCUAGCUGGUCUGAGAGGAUGAUCAGCCACACUGGAACUGAGACACGGUCCAGACUCCUACGGGAGGCAGCAGUGGGGAAUAUUGCACAAUGGGCGCAAGCCUGAUGCAGCCAUGCCGCGUGUGUGAAGAAGGCCUUCGGGUUGUAAAGCACUUUCAGUCGUGAGGAAGGUAGUGUAGUUAAUAGCUGCAUUACUUGACGUUAGCGACAGAAGAAGCACCGGCUAACUCCGUGCCAGCAGCCGCGGUAAUACGGAGGGUGCGAGCGUUAAUCGGAAUUACUGGGCGUAAAGCGCAUGCAGGUGGUUUGUUAAGUCAGAUGUGAAAGCCCGGGGCUCAACCUCGGAAUAGCAUUUGAAACUGGCAGACUAGAGUACUGUAGAGGGGGGUAGAAUUUCAGGUGUAGCGGUGAAAUGCGUAGAGAUCUG